CUGAUGGAGCAAUGCCGCCGUGAGUGAAGAAGAGUUUCGGCUCGUAAACCUCUGUGUUAAAGAAGAACACCUUUGAGAGUAACUGUUCAAGGGUUGACGGUAUUUAACCAGAAAGCCACGGCUAACUACGUGCCAGCAGCCGCGGUAAUACGUAGGUGGCAAGCGUUGUCCGGAUUUAUUGGGCGUAAAGCGAGCGCAGGCGGUUUUUUAAGUCUGAUGUGAAAGCCUUCGGCUUAACCGGAGAAGUGCAUCGGAAACUGGGAGACUUGAGUGCAGAAGAGGACAGUGGAACUCCAUGUGUAGCGGUGGAAUGCGUAGAUAUAUGGAAGAACACCAGUGGCGAAGGCGGCUGUCUAGUCUGUAACUGACGCUGAGGCUCGAAAGCAUGGGUAGCGAACAGGAUUAGAUACCCUGGUAGUCCAUGCCGUAAACGAUGAGUGCUAAGUGUUGGAGGGUUUCCGCCCUUCAGUGCUGCAGCUAACGCAUUAAGCACUCCGCCUGGGGAGUACGACCGCAAGGUUGAAACUCAAAGGAAUUGACGGGGGCCCGCACAAGCGGUGGAGCAUGUGGUUUAAUUCGAAGCUACGCGAAGAACCUUACCAGGUCUUGACAUCUUCUGCCAAUCUUAGAGAUAAGACGUUCCCUUCGGGGACAGAAUGACAGGUGGUGCAUGGUUGUCGUCAGCUCGUGUCGUGAGAUGUUGGGUUAAGUCCCGCAACGAGCGCAACCCUUAUUAUCAGUUGCCAGCAUUCAGUUGGGCACUCUGGUGAGACUGCCGGUGACAAACCGGAGGAAGGUGGGGAUGACGUCAAAUCAUCAUGCCCCUUAUGACCUGGGCUACACACGUGCUACAAUGGACGGUACAACGAGUUGCGAAGUCGUGAGGCUAAGCUAAUCUCUUAAAGCCGUUCUCAGUUCGGAUUGUAGGCUGCAACUCGCCUACAUGAAGUUGGAAUCGCUAGUAAUCGCGGAUCAGCAUGCCGCGGUGAAUACGUUCCCGGGCCUUGUACACACCGCCCGUCACACCAUGAGAGUUUGUAACACCCAAAGCCGGUGAGAUAACCUUCGGGAGUCAGCCGUCUAAGUGAGCUCGCA
This 1095-nucleotide ribosomal RNA is filed under the name Levilactobacillus brevis. Its description in RNAcentral is "bacterial SSU rRNA". It matches the Rfam family "Bacterial small subunit ribosomal RNA", at positions 383 to 1472 of the family's 1533-position model. Lineage: Bacteria; Bacillati; Bacillota; Bacilli; Lactobacillales; Lactobacillaceae. The record is from RNAcentral.